AGACUGACACCUCCUUAAGGUAAGAGCUCCUCAAAGCUAAAUUGGAGAUGAAGGCAGAACAGCCUUUGUUGUCUUCCAGAGCGUUAUUUCAGGUCCUGCAAAAUAUGCUCUACCAUUGGAAUAAAAUGUUAACCUUGAAGAAAUCCUCAACUUAACCAUUGGCUAGUGCAUUCAUUAUGUGUUGGGAUCAUUUGAGUGCACAGUAUUGCCAGAUGUUGUUCAAUGAAACGAGUUGUACAAAGCUUUAUUAGCUAUCAUUUUCAUCAUUUUCCAAAGCAACACUUUGUCUCUCUUUGCACUCUGAAAUAAUGAGACAACUUUCUCGACUGUGUCUAAGCAGACUGAUAAGAUCAGAAGUACUUCAAGUCUUCUGGAGGCAGAAAGGUUAAGGCAAUGACUAGCACAAAAGAAGUAAUGAGCAAGUGGUGCUGCUUUUCCCAAGACAUCUUUAUUCCUUUUAAUGUCUUUAACGUUGGGUCUCUUGAUCUUCUUGAUUGCUUUGAGCAAGACAGCAAAGGGCAUCUCGUGUAUUUCAGCUUCAAGCCAUAAUCAUAUGAAAGUUGUAGCGCAAUCUUUACCAGUUUUUUUACCUUGGUCAGUUGUUUCAUGUGCUAUGGAUGAGUGAUAGGAUGUUUCUUUUGUCAUGAAAACUAUGGCUACUGAGAUAAUAUUAAAUUCUAGAACAAUCAUUGGACUCACUUCACUUACUUCAACAUUGCGAAUAAAAAACUUGGUUCUAAAUUUCUUUUUUAUGUUUUAUGUUCUGUUGGAAAUUGUCAAAAAUAUGAAAUUCAUGAAUGCUUUAUCUUUUUUUACCACCAGUUAAAAGGAAACUACUUGCAGAAAGUUACUUUCUACCAGGUGCUAAAUAUGAUCAUUGUUUACAUGUGAAGCCUUCUCGUUUUUAUUCUCGAUUAUGGCAAGAUUUCAAAGAAAGUGGAACAACCAACUUUUGCAGAUUUGAUUUAUUUUUAUACUUCACAUGCAAAAGCAAUCAAUUAACUUUUUGCAAUAUGCCAAUGACUGGUAUUCAUCUCAGGUUUUCUUAGAAUUGUACUUAAUAAUGUAUAUGUAAUUUUUUUUGCAAACCACAUAACAUUUGAAAUUAAAGUUAUAUUUUUUGUAUGCAUCUCGACCCACAAUUAAGUAGUUUCCUGUAGUCUUAAACAGAACAUUUUACCUCUUUUUCUAUAUUCAUUUAGACAAAUUACUGGAAACAAGGAGCAAAUUAACUACAUGUCAUUCACAAUGGGAGAUAAAUUUUCUCAUUGAAUGCCCACUUUGUACACCAUUUACAAUACCAUUUAAACUACUCCAAUAAUAGUUGUAAUAGAAAGACACUCCAGGAGUAAACAAGUCAUUGCCAUUGGUUUGCCUCAAAUUCACGUCCCCAAAUCAGCUUGGCUCAGAAAGUCAACAAGCAACGUUUGAUAAUGUUUAUAUAAUCACUUAAAAUUUGCAACCUUGGAAAGUUUGUAAAGAAAAUUUCUGAAGGAAAAUAACAGAAGUUUUGAGAAUUUUUUAAUCGAAUGAAAUAACAGGUUUUCUGAUAAGAUAAUAUCUGUUUAUUACUAAAUAUAAUUCAUUGUACUGGAAGCGGGUUGUCGUUCCUUUUAUGGAUAAUUCAAGAAUAUCAAACUUUUGCACCAUCAAGAAACUUUCCAAUUCAAUAAACUACAAUUCAAUACAAUAAAUCCAAUUCAAUUCAAUUCAAAGAAACUUUCCAAUUCAAUAAAAAUGUAAGCUCUGAUAUUGAAUAUGCUUCAAGCCUAAGUUUUUUACUGCCGCCUGAUUUUUACCCCAUCCUCUAAUGAGGAGAACCUGAACCCUGAAUUUUUUUUGCAAGAUUUGGAAGAAAAUAGAGUAGGACAUUCUAUUUCAAGUGUAACCACCUCAAAAUUUUUACCUCUUUGAUUUUGCUCAAAUUCUGUACAAAGUUUUCUGUUGCAAAGAUACACCUGCUGUGAAAAUGUCAGCUUCCUAGCUUGAGUGGUUUUGAAAUUUGUUGCAACCGGUCAUUACUUGUGCCAGACCUAAAAUUGAUAUCUUCCUUCACACUCAACCUAUAAAGAUGGAAUUGGUGUCAAAUGGAAGCACUUGUCAAGUUGAAACUAAAUUUCCAGUGAAAUUGAUGCUAGCCUCAAAGGCUCAAGGGCUGAGGUACAAUGUUAUUUUUUCAAUGGCUGACCACGCCCAAUUUUUUUUCCAAUAAGAUAAGUUCAUGAUAGAGCACCUCAUAAAAUUUAAAGAUUGGGUGGGCAUGGGUUUUAUCACAAUCAAUCUCAGAAUACUGACAAGUCUUUAAUAGAUCUGUAUCCUGCAUAAGCAUGACCUACUAUGACAUUUUUGUACUUUAUGACAUUGUUCUGUUAUAGAUGAAUAUUACAUAAGUGCAUGUGUAGAGUAUAAAAAUAAAUUGAAUGGAAACCUCCUGCUAAUUCAGGAAAUGAAAACUUUCAAUUAAUGUCAAGUUAGUGAAAGUUGGUCUAAACAUUUUAUUUAACUUUAUGAUUUAGGAAUUCCCAUCAAUUUUAAAUAAUUUUUCGAAAUUGGCUGUUCUUAUCCUGUAAUUGUCAAACCAGGAAGUCCUCUUCAAUAGCACCUGUCUAUUACAAGGAAACAGUAAAUAAAAAACCAAUGUAAGAAACGUGCUUUAGAAACUUCAAACAGACUUCAGACUUUGGUGAAAGCAUUUAGUACAUUACUGAAAAGGCAGUUUUUUAGUUUACGAGAUUUAAAGCCUAAAUGAAACUUUAGGGCAAAUCGGAGAAAGCCCUCUGAGUCAACAAAAAAUAAAGUCAAGAUGUGCUCCCUUUCUCAGAAAAAGAAAAGAGUGUGUGACACCCUUGAAAGAAAAUUUGAUGCUGCAUGUGGCUCCUCUCUAUCGUUGAUUUUGGAUGUUUCUUUGGGAUGAGGAAGAUGAAAUGCCAGCAGAAAUUGUGCAAAAGCUAAUUGCAAAAUUUCGCAGCACUGAAAGUAGAAGUGAAAAGAUAACAGUUCUGACUAUUUUUGUGCAAACAUGGAAUCAAAGGAAAAUAAUGGCCACCUUUGAAUUAUAAGCUUGCUCUCAAAGAAUGCAUACACAAGCAAUGCAUUUAUCAUUGGAAAAAGGCAUCCUUGCUGCCCCAAAUCCAAAAACUGGAAAAAAGUUGCCAGAGAAUGUUUUAGAGGCUGUAGAAAACUUCUAUUGGCAAGAUGAUAUCAGCAGAGUUAUGCCUGGAAAUAAGGACUGUCUAAGUAUUCUUCAAGACAGCAAGAAGACUCAGUUUAAAAAAAGACUAGUUUUAGAAAAUCUUCAGGAAAUUUAACAAACAUUCAAAUCCCAACAUCUAUCCAUGAAGAUAAGCUUCUCAAAGUUUGCAAUGGCUCGACCUAAAGAAUGUAUUUUAGCUGGAGCAAGUGGCACUCAUUCUGUUUGCGUUUGUACAAUCUAUAACAAUGUAAAAUUGAUGAUGAAUGGAUCCAUGAUGGCGUCUGUGAAAGCCAAUGAAGUAGUUCCUGUUAGUCAUUAUGGACAUGCAGUGGCUACGAUGAUGUGUAAUCCAACAAUACCAAACUGUCAUCUUGGUGAAUGCCCAUACUGCCCUGGUAAACAGCCCCUGAGAGAGAUGAUUUUAAAAUGAUAACGAUGUCGAUGAAGUAGAGUUUAAGCAAUGGACAUCUACUGAUCGCUCAAAACUAGAGACUUUGGUAGAGCCAAUAGAAGAUUUUGCGGAAGCAUUUAUUGAGAAACUUGACACUCUUAAGCGACAUGAUUUUAUUGCAAAACAGCAAUCUCAGUAUCUUUGCAAACGAAAGGAAGGUCUAGUAGAAGGAGAAUUUUUUGUUAUAGGUGACUUUUCAGAAAUCUUUUCGUUUGUUGUCCAAGAUGAAGCACAAUCAUUCCACUGGAAUAACAGCAUGGCAACACUGCAACCAUUUGUUUAUUAUUUCAAAAAGGAUGGACAAAUCAACCACAGCAACUUUGUACUAAUAUCAGAUUGCCAUACUCACGACACUGUUGCAGUUCACCUUUUUCAGAAAGAAUUGAUGGGACAUCUUUCAGAAAAGUUUCAGGUGCUGAAAGCAAUUAUCUAUUUUUCUGAUGGCUGUGCAGGGCACUAGAAAAACCUCAAGAAUUUUUGUAACCUGUGCAUUCAUCAAUAUGAUUUUGGUGUGCCGGCUGAAUGACAUUUUUUGCAACAAGCCAUGGCAAGGGGCCUUCUGAUGGCAUUGGAGGCACUAUCAAAAGAGAAAAAACCAAAGCAAGUCUGCAGCGACCUAACAGUGAUCAAAUUUUGUCAACUCUGAAGCUAUUUGAGUUUGUUGAUUCCCAUCUUAAAGGCAUCAAUGCAAAAUUUCUCACUGCUGCUGACUUGUAUUCGGUAGAAGAAAUUCUUCAUGAAAGAUUUCAGACUACUAAAACGAUUGCUGGAACAUAAAAAUUACAUUGUUUCAAACCAAUUUCAAAAUAUUCUCUUCUUGUCUCAGACAGAAUACAGUGAAAGUGAAGUUCAAGUAGUCAAAGCAGGCUGUGGUCAUAUUGAGCUCAGUAAGAUUACUGGCUAUGUUGCUGUAGUUUAUGACAGCAAGUGGUGGGUGGCAUAUGUUUCAAGCAUUCAACCAGGAACCAAUGAAGUGACAAUAAGCUUCCUGCAUCCCCAUGGCCCAAACCCAUCAUUUGUGUAUCCAGAACCUUUUGAAAUGCUUGUUGUUCAUGUCUCAGACGUACUUGUGCAACUUAAUCCGGUCACUUUUACAGGUCGCACCUACACAUUAUCAAAAGGGGAAUCACAAGUAGCAAGCAUGUCAUUACAAAACAGAUUACAGAUGAAAUAAUUUUCUGAAACAGAAAUUCUCUCUAACUGCAAUGAACAUGACACUUGAUAUUAAAAUCAAACUACCCCUUGUAUGCAUUGCAUGAAGACUUACAUUGACUUUUAACCUUUCAAGAUAAUACUCAUCAGUAUUCUGAGACUGAUUGUGAUAAAACCCAUGCCAACCCCAAUUAUAUAUUUUAUGAAGUGCUUUAUCAUGAAUUUAUCUUAAUGAAAAACAUUUUUCAUGAAAAUUGGCGAUGCCAUUUGGGUGUUGUCAGCCAUUGAAAAAUAACAUUGUACCUCAGCCCUUGAGCCUUUGAGGCUAGCAUCAAUUUCACUGGAAAUUUAGUUUCAGCUGGUCAAGUGCUUUCAUUUGACACUAAUUCCAUCUUUAUAGGUUGGAAUUGCUUAGCUAAACAUAAUACUAGAUUUUAGACAAAAUCCAUGACAAAAAUUUCAAGUUUGGAUAUUUUUGUUACACUUGACAUAGAAUGUCCCGAGUAACUGAACAUCAGUAGAAAAAUGGAUUUGGGGUCAAGGCCUCUUUCAAUGAAAACUAUGUCAUGAAAGUGAUGAAAUUUGAAGAAGAAAAGUACAAUAGUUAACUCUGUACAAAGAAAAACAAGGCACAUAUGGCUAUUUUUCUACUUUUUAAAGAAUUUGUUCAAUGGCCCGGAUAUCAGCAUUAUAUCAGCCUUCCAGAUCUUGUAGUUGGAACUUUUAUUUUUUUUGUAAAACAUGCGUCAAAGGUACCCAGCAAAUAUCAUCAUUGUGGGGCCAAUGAAAUGACCUGGCAGGCCCGUACGGAUGAAUAAAUUUGCAACAAAAUACUUGAAAUACAUGGAUACAUGCAACAAAAUCUGAAUUCUCAACCUUUACUACUGUUGGUUUCUGUAGCAGAUUGUGAUGGAGGACAUAUUCAUUAUCAUCACUGCAUCUCUGCAACAGUAUUUUCUGCAACAGGCACAAAUUGGUGAAAAGUGCUAGUGCCGGGAACUGCAUAUGUUCCAUGAAACCUUUUCUCUAGAUCUAUACGUUUCAAUUUGGUGGCUUCUUCUGAGGAAUAAAAUAACGUUAUUUCUGCAAUGUUCUCACUACAAAAUCUGAACAUAUUUUCGGCAGAUAAUAUUUGAUCAGAAAUGGUACGCUGUAAACUUUGGCGGUAAGCCCUUAACAGUUCCACCUAUAUUGUCACAAGGCUGCUUGCCAUGACUUGUGGCAAAAAGGACCAUCUAGCAAAAAGACCAAAAUCUUCCUAUGCUUGGAAAGUUUUAGAAAGUUUUUCCUAUAGAAAGUUUUUGCUAUUCUUAUAUACUAGCCUUUUACCGUGUUCUCCAGAUCUUGCAAGACAAGGUUUUGAACUUGAUGGACAUCAUGAUUGUGGUCUUCCAUUAGGAAGCAAUAAGAUUUAUGGCAUAGGUUUGCUCCAUUUUUGUAAUAUGCUACAACAGGAUGCAGAGUACAUUUAAGAUUUGUCCAAUAGAACCUUGGACCUCAUCUUGAACUACAAAUUUGUAAUUCUCAGCAAAAUCACCUAAGAACAAAGCCUCUGAUUGACUCAAAUUUUUCUUCCUGGCUUUCAAAUACCUUGCCUGCAACUUUGCAAGGAAAGAGUGUACAGUGAGCUUUUGAAGUUGCUCUCCAACAAAUUGAAACGAUCAGUUGUUGUCCAUUGACAAAAUUCAAUUGCUUCAUAAUCAUCAAAAUUCUUAAGGAGAUUGCAAAGGUGAUUCCUCAAGUCAAAAGAAGUUUUAGGACACUAUUGACACUUGCGUGGCAUACAGUCUUUGUAAAAAAACGAUCAAUGUAAGUAAAUUGUACCAGGAAAAAUUUUAAAAUAAUUAACAAUGUUUCAAGCAUAGCCCGUUAUCAAGUGAGAUAUAAAAGCGAUGAUAGAACUAAAAAACGUUGAAGGAAUAUGGAAUUCGACGAAUGGAAUAAGAAGACGGAUGUAAGAGCAUGGAAAAAGCUAAUAAAAAUAAAUAUAUAUAUAUACAUAUACGCAAAUACAGAAUUUAUGUUUAUGUAUAUAUAUGCACACUAAUAUGAAGAAAAAGAAAAAACAAAGAAAAAGGAGGAAAGUUUAUUGAAAAUACGUAAACUGUUUAUUAAGUCCAGAAGGAUAUAGAGUUCCAAGUUUAAAAAUUAUCCGUUUUUCCAGUGACUUUCUCUUUGCACUGUCGGUUAGGGCAAACAAGAGGCCAAGAACUACCAUGUCAUCUUCUGUGUGAUUCGCCAGGUUAAAAUGUUUGGAAAUGUUGCUAUCAGGAUCACUGUCGUGUUUGUUGUUAAGGUGGAUUUUGUUCCUGACAUUACGUAAAUGCUCACCAAACCUGCUGUUAAUCUGGCGUGAUGUUUCACCAAUAUAAAGAAUAUUACAUUUGGUGCAAGAGAUGCAGUAUAUGACACAUGAGGAAGAAUGGGUGAAGCUUGAUUUAACAGAACUUGACUUGUUACCAUUAGAAAUGGUGGUAGAUGGGUUGAUAUGGUUGCAGGUUUGACAGAGAUGGUGGUGGCAAGGUGAGGUACCAGGAGAUUCAGGUGAACGAAGGCUGCUGUGUACAAGGUAGUCUUUGAUGUUUUUAUCCUUUUUGUAGGCCAACAGAGGCGGAGCUUUGAAUAUUAUUUUUGUAAUUCAGUCGUUGUGUAGAAUGGAGAGGUUGUUGUAUAUAAUAUCUUUAAUUUGUUUGUUGAGUGGGUGGUAGGUGAGAGCAAAAGCUAUACGGUUAUCGGCAUUUGUUCUGUCGAGCGGUUUAAGGGCUUCAUCCUGAGUGAUGUUGUUGACUUUAGCGAUAGCAGACAUAGUUAUCUUUGCAGGGUAGUGAUUGUGAUGGAGAAAGGAUGUCAUUUCUUUUGCUUUUUUUUAAAAAUCAUUAGUGUAGUUAGAAAUUGUUAGUGUAGUUGAUGAAAUUUAGUAGAGAUGCAAGUGGUAAUGAUGUAGCUCCGACAAUGUCAUCAAUGUAUCUCUUGAUUGGCAAGGGAAAGGACUGUGAUCAUAUGAACUGUAGAUCAAGUGUUCCUGAUAACCAACAAAAAGGCAAGCAUAGCUAGGACCAAGUUUACUUCCCAUAGCAACACCAGUUGUUUGAAGGUAGAAAUAACCAUUAAAAGAAAAUGCAUUUGUAGUUAACACAAGCUCGGCUAGACGAAGAAGAGUGUUGGUAGGUGGGGUUUGUUUAGGGUGUUGAUCGAGAAAAAACUUUAGUGCUUCUAAACCAUCAUCAUGAGGAUGGCAUGUAUAAAGUUAUUUAACGUCCAUUGUAAAUAAAUAUCUGUUGGAGCCUUUAAUUUCGAAAUCCUUGAAAAGAAGCAGGGCAUGCGAUGUAUCCUUGACAAACGUAGGCAGUUGUGGUUGAUGGGCGUAAAUAUGCUAUCAAGGUAAGCUGCAAUUUGUGAUGUUGGACAGGAGACGGCUAAUACAGUAGGACGGCCAGGGUUAUCAGGUUUGUGUAUCUUUGGGAGCAUAUAGAAAACAGAUGUACGGGGAUGUUGAAAAUAUAAUUUAGUAGCGUUUUCAGGAAGAUUGCCAAGACUGAUUUCUUCUUUAAUAAUAUUGAUGACGGUUUUUUUGAAAGAUCUAGUAGGAUUGGUAGUUUUUUUGGCAUAGGAUGAUGAAUUUAACUGUGAAUCGCCUUCUUGAAUAUAUAAAUCUUUACGCCAUACAACAAUACGACCCCCUUUAUCUGCUGGUUUAAUAACAAUAUCAUCUCUUGAUUUGAGGUUGUGGUGUCCAGUUUGACUUAGUUUGAAAAAGGUUGUUUAUAAUAGCCGCUUGAUCUGAUAAUGGUCCUAUAGGAGUAGAAGAGAAGCUGUCAGAGUUCUUUUCCUUGAAAAAUGCUUUAAGACGGAGGCGGCGAAAGAAGGAUUUGGUAUCUUGUUUGGUUUGAAACUCGUCGAUGUAUGAACAGAGUUGUACAAAUUUAAGACCUUUUUUUAAGCACAUCACGUUCAUCAGAUGUUAAUGGUAAAUCCUCAGGUAUUGUUUGUACAAUGUUUUUGGUAGGCUCAGCUGUAGACAAGGAAGAAACGGCAUUGGUGGAAACACAAAGAUGAUCAAGUUUGUUGUUUUAUACCGCACACAUUUUAGUAUAUUUAUACAGUCUUUGUGUUCAGGAUCGCAUACAAUGAAGCUGAAUAGCUUUUUAUAAUUUUCAACAAUCGGAGCAAGAGCCAAUUUUAUAGUCUUGUGUAUGGUGCAUACACAUACUGUGCAAGAGUGCACCGUUUAGGUCUUAGCGAACAGAAUUUAGAAAAACUUAUCUGGACUUCUGGAAACUUAGCUUUGAAGGAGGUAUAGAGCUCUCGUAAAUUACAGAGAAGAAGUCGCUCUCAAGCAUGCUUAUUUCUGCCUAUGCUGACAUAGUUAUUUCGAUCUGGCAUAUUCUUCAUCAUGGUCUUGAAUAUUCUUCAUCAUGGUAAAAACUGAAUACCAAAUCAGCUGCAGUAUUUGAAAGCCCUCUACUUUUUUGGAUCUGGGCAGGCUAGGAUCCCCUUUUCUUUUGCCAAUUUUCUUGCUGCCUGAACAGAAUAUUCACAUAUUCAAAAAAAUCCAGCACAUUCUUUGUUUGUCCAGCUUGAUGGUACAAGCAUUAAAAUUUGAAUUUUUGUGCAUAUCAAGCAUCAGUUCGUCAAAAGCUGCAGCUUUCUCUAAAUUUACCUUAUCUUGUGGGGUAUCUUUGAGCUCGAACACAUGUUCAGGAACAAUCGAUGUCCUGGCAACUUUCUCUGUCAAUGUAGUUACAAUUGUUUCAAGCUUACGUUUUUCAGCUUUUAACUUUGCUUGGGCUGGUUGUGCAUAAACUUACUACGAUCAGCCUCUGCUGAAACUGAUUACUUAAAGUGCAUAUGACACGAAAAUCUUUAUUCGCCCCCAUUACGUAAUUGAGUAUGCUGAUAACGAAAAUCAUCAUAAAAUUUUCGAAAAACAAACACUUUCGUAAUUACAGCUGUUUCAAGGUCGAUUUUCGCUUCAAAUUCUGUCACAAGGGAUUGGGUCGAGUUUGACAGGAAGUGACGUAAAGUGGUUGUGUUAGCGAAAAUUUAGAUUGCUAACUAACAAGAAGUUAUGCGGCGGAGUUUUACUUGCGAGUUUAUGAACAUGUCUCACGGCAAAUAUUCAAGCUCGAGGGCGUCAGCUUUUGACGUAAGUGAAGGGGAAGAGCUUUUAGGUGCUGCUGAUGGGCUAUUUUUGCCUUGCAAGAACGAACCAGUCUUUUUUCUGCGGAUAAUUCAGACGCGGAACCAGGCGAAGCUGGCAUGGCUCGAGGCUUUCAUGACCGGGCAGAGGACGAAGAUGGAAUACAAAAAUCCCAACAGCGUGAUCGAUGGCGAGGAAUUAUUACUUUGAGUCAAUGGUAUCUCUGUGCAAUGGCAUACAGUCUUGGUGUCUGUCAGAGACAAACGUAGAUACUUCAAUUCCAGAACUUCGGAGAGAUUCAAAACCUUGUUGAUGCCAAAACAACUCCAUCUGUGCAGAGCUUCCGUUAACGCUGCUUGCCUGUGAAGAACGAGAAACACAAAUUUCAAUGUUUACAUUUAACAACAAACAUGAUCCCAGAUUAAUUUUUUGGUCUUUGACCAAGGCUGACCAGGUCAAAGACCACUAUUUCUGUUAUACAGAAACGACUGACUCCGUGAUUUAAUUGAAAGUUUUUAUAUCAUGUUUUGUUACUUGGUGACUUCUGUUUAUUGUUAAUCGAUUCUCACUUGCAUUUUGAAUCUUUAUCCUAUAGAAUAUCAUUUCCCUGCUUCUUAAAUAUUUCUUGAGUUGCCAACCCCCUGCUUUUUUAGUUUCCAAAACCUUUUUCGCUUUUAUAUAAAAUGUUGAAGUAGUUUACAUUUGUUUAAAUGGUUUAAAAAAAUAACUGCAAAAUUGAAUAUUUGGGUUAUUUUUUUGUAUUAGAAACGGUGAUAUGGACCCCACACAGAGAGACAAGGAGUCCCUUUUUCCAUAAAGCGAGUGCCCCCGGUGUUGUCGAGUCAUUAUCAAUAACGUAUCUUAGCUGUUAAUAGAACGUUGUUAGGCAGUUAUAAAAAAACAAUAGGAAACUUAUUACUCACCAUGCUUUUUUCAUUCUUGCUUCGUUCUUUGUCUUGUUUUGGUUUGCGGACUGAGGGUAGAGCAUCACGUCGAAAAAAUGUUUUGGUAUUUUCGGUGUCAAAACCAGGAGGAGAGGGAAAUGUACGGGAAAGAUCAGUCGGAAAAAGGUGAUAUUGAAAAAGAUGAUGGCUCGAUAUCUUUACGCUGCAUUUUUAAUAAGUAAUGCCAAGCGGCGAAAUUCUGUUGGGGCAGGUUUUCCAGGAUGGUAGUCAAGCACAACGGUAUCUUUCUCAAGGGGUAUUCGUUCCAUAAAGUCAUGCACAACACUUUAUUUCAAUUUUUAUCAAUUUUAUAAUGAACCAAAAAAAUUUUCUAAAUUACUUUCCGACCUUUGAUGGCAUUGCUUGAGUUAUCUAGAUAAAACUUAUUACAAUUAUGGAGAAAAAAAAUCUUUAGGGGGACAACAGUAGUGCCUGCACAUAGUGAAACCAUACAGAAGCCUUGUUCUAUUCAACGGAUACACAACCACUUUACGUCACAGGGGUCACGUGACCACAGGUUCGACCGCGUUUUUCUUGUGACACAUUUUAGCUCGAGUGGGUGUCGAAAAACCCCGUUUUUUGGGAAAAGUAAGUCGCAAAUGAAAAAACUAAGUUCACCAUCGUUACCAGCGAUGUUUCUUUGAUGAUUUAAGCGAAUAAAAAUUUUCGUGUCAUAUGCACUUUAAGCUGUGAAAUAUCAUCAUCUUCCAGAAUUUCUUCAUACUCUUAUCCAUCUCAGUUUCAGUAAGAAUGCUGUUAACAACCUUUCUGCAGUUACAACAAAGAUUUUUUCUUGGCAUUUUUUCGUGACUUUGCUGCACAGUCUUUAAUAAAUUCCAUGGUAAUACUUCCUAAUGACCCCGUUGAAUGAUUAAAUAAUAAAAGGUAAAGAUGGUGCAUACCAUUGGAACAUAGGCCGAUGAAGUAAAUACUAAAGAGACUCAGAUAUGCAUACCUUUAACUGGUUUGUCUUGUUUUUUUAAUGGAUCACAACAAACUCUCUGAAAUGAAUCAAAGCGCACUAAAUAAUACUGCUUGUGGUGAUUGCAAAGAUUUCUUAUGUCAUCAUUUGCUUCAGUUCUCAGGAAGAGAAGAUCUUUUUCUCUGUUUUCCAGAUCAACAAAAUUGAUCAAACUCACCGUCUUAGAAAACGUUAUGACAACUUUCUCCAAUUUCCAAACCUACUGGACAUCGAGAGGUAAAUCAGUUUUGCACAUGUCUAGGAUACACCAAUUGAAUAUAUAAGAUAAUAGACCUGUUUCCUCUCUUAGAUAUUCAAUUGGCCAUUUUUGUCUAACCAUCUAGUUGCAUAUGACCUGAUAAGCUCAUUUUGAUCUACCUGCACAUCAGAGUGUUCAGAAGGGGAAGUAAGCACAGCUGUUCUUGUUGCUUCAGUACAGCCUAUCAAAAGCUUGAAUGAAAGUAAAAUGUGUGCUUUUGUUGUCAUAAUUAUGUGCAAAUAGAAUCACAGUUUCUUCGAUCAUUCUAAAGCACAUCUCUUUGUAAGAACAAAUUGGGAUCUUGAGGCUUCUAAAAUCAAACUCGAGUCUCUAAUCAUACAAGUGACAUUUUUCAAAUUUUCAGUGGCAGAUUCAAAGGAUUGGAAAUUAAAAAAAAAAUCACUCAGAAGAUUUGAAGAGCCACAAAGUCAAGUCAGACUUCUUGGCAAAAUGUAGACUGACACCAUCCUUUUUCAGUAACUGAAUAGGCUUACUGGUGUCAGACAUGGACACUUGCAUGCCAGUAGACUCCAGUAGGACAUCACCACAACUUGUUGUUUAGCAUGAUUAAUGGGCAGCUUUUCUGUUGUCUUUUUGUCUGAGAUCUUUGCACAGUCAAGAUUUCAGGAAAUUUUGGAUUUUCUAACUUCCAUCCAUCAACCUGUCCAACUUUUGCCAAACCCUUUGCCAACAAGCUCUUAGAGGAAUACAAAGGUUGAUUUUAAAUCUAUGAGUUGUAGGUUUUGCUUGAUAUUUUGUUUAUCCUAAGUUCUGUUUUCAGAUUAUUUUGACAGAAUUUUAUUUCCUGUAUCAUGGAUGACUUAUACAGUACAUUCUGCACUGUACUGAGUUUAAAGCAGUUUUUGCACUUCAAGGUUUUGAUCUCGAGGUCUGCAGUGCCCUGGCUCAGAUGGUUUGUUUGAAACUCACAGUGUUCUGAGAUUGGAUUCUUCAAAAGGUCUUAAAAAAUACAUACCUCGAACAUGAUAACAAAGGGCAGGACCAUAGUUAAAGCCCCAUGUUGUAAACUGUAAUGGAAUGGCAAUUUUGGUAAAGAGCAUAUCUAGAUCAAAGUCUCCAUUUUUUGGGCUUCAAGAAACCCAAGUAGAGAAAGCACUUUCAACCCUAGUUAACAUUUUGCAAAAUUUUUACAAAACUCCUUCACUUGCUCUAAGUUUAAAUCAGUAUUAUGUUUCCUAGCUUCUUCAAAGUUUGUAACCUUAUUUUCAGAUUUCUGUAUUGCUCCCAGUUAUUCAGUGAUGCCAGCCAAAAUGUCAUGAUUAAAAAAAUGAUUUGAAGAAUCAAAAUCUUUUAUAGAUAGCAAAUACUGGAUUUUACAUGCACUUGGGUUAUCUAGAAAGGCAGCUGCAUGCUUCUCAAUAUCAAAUUUGCCAUAUCGCUUUACUAGUUUUUCAUUCAAAUUUGCAAAAUUAUGGAAAGACCCCAGGAAUAGUGUUGAUAUCUAUGAGUAGCUCAAAGGGUUUAAAUAUUUUACAUUCUGAAACUGGAGGGUAAUCGAUCCAACUGAAACAGUCAUCAAGAAGUGAUACAAAUGAAAACAUCCAAACAAACAAGGGCUCUGCAGAUUGCUCAAUCUCAGUUUGUAAAAUGUCAAAUUUCAUUGUAUUCCUCAAAAAAUGAUCUUUUGGAAAUAAUUCAUAAACAUUUUUCCAGAACUUGUAAAAUUCACUGAUCUCAAUCUUCUUUACACUAACACACUGAGCCAGACAUUUAUUGAAAUUAAUAGGCAUCUAUGAUAAACUCAUUGCAACUAGUAGUUUCAUGAACAAUUUUUAAAGCCUUGUUGAAAUAAACCAUGGCCACUUAGAAUUCAUUGUUUGCAGCUUUUAACACAGCCAGUUGGUUAAAGACCUUUCCGAGGAUAGUAUAAUUUUCUGGCAAAACCUUAUCUUAAUAAUCAUAGCAAAGCUCUGCCCUUUUGUAAAGCUUCUGCAAAACUACCCUGGCAUGCUAAAGAAGAGCUAGCAAGGCUAUGUGUUGCAAUUUUAUGAUACUGGCCAAUUAUAUUGCCUUCUUUGAAAACUACAGCAUUCAAUGUGUGUUUACUUUGAUUUAAAAAUCCAGUAUGGAUACAACGAUUUGCUGCAUUUUUCAACAAAGGAUUGCAAAAUGGCCUCAAGGAGGUAGAUGAAAACUUCUCAAAACCAGAGGACUUAAUUUCAGAAAGAUUUGUAAUUUGACUGUAAGCAUGCAACAGUAUUUUCUGUGCAUUCUUCAAAUAUCCUUGUUCUAUUAGCAGUUCUGCAUGUAUUAUAGAAUGCAUGUAUGAUUUUUCGAUCUACUCGUGAGUAAGCUGUGGCUACAAAAAUAACAUCUUUGUUAUCCUUAAAGGCAUUGAGUCAUGAUAUAAUGGAUUGGGUAUACCCUAAGUGCAAAAUCCGCUGAGUCAUGAUUUUCAUGACUGCGAUGCUAUUGGUUGACCUGGAACUGGUCACAUGAACUCACCUCGUACUGAUUGACAAAACAAUUUCCAUCAAUAGCAAGUUGUCAACAGCGGAUGCAAAUAUCACAUGAAAUAGCAGCGAUCACGCCGA
This is a non-coding RNA of Rhopilema esculentum, 14655 nucleotides long. Lineage: Eukaryota; Metazoa; Cnidaria; Scyphozoa; Rhizostomeae; Rhizostomatidae. The record is from RefSeq and is a predicted model, not a curated record.